CACGUAGGGCGCGAGCGUUGUCCGGAAUUAUUGGGCGUAAAGAGCUCGUAGGCGGCCUUUUGCGUCCGCUGUGAAAGCCCGGAGCUUAACUCCGGAGGGUCGGUGGAUACUGCCAGUCUUGAAGGUGCUAGGGGGAGAUGGAAUUACCGGUGUAGCGGUGAAAUGCGUAGAUAUCGGUAGGAACACCAGUGGCGAAGGCGGUCUCCUGGGGCAUUCUUGACGCUGAGGCGCGAAAGCUGGGGGAGCAAACGGG
RNAcentral lists this ribosomal RNA (253 nucleotides) under uncultured bacterium. RNAcentral describes it as "partial 16S ribosomal RNA". It matches the Rfam family "Bacterial small subunit ribosomal RNA", at positions 524 to 776 of the family's 1533-position model. The record is from RNAcentral.